CUNNNANGCAGUCGAAACGAUGAUGCCCAGCUUGCUGGGUGGAUUAGUGGCGAACGGGNNNGUAACACGUGAGUAACCUGCCCCUGACUCUGGGAUAAGCGUUGGAAACGACGUCUAAUACUGGAUAUGAUCACUGGCCGCAUGGUCUGGUGGUGGAAAGAUUUUUUGGUUGGGGAUGGACUCGCGGCCUAUCAGCUUGUUGGUGAGGUAACGGCUCACCAAGGCGACGACGGGUAGCCGGCCUGAGAGGGUGACCGGCCACACUGGGACUGAGACACGGCCCAGACUCCUACGGGAGGCAGCAGUGGGGAAUAUUGCACAAUGGGCGAAAGCCUGAUGCAGCAACGCCGCGUGAGGGAUGACGGCCUUCGGGUUGUAAACCUCUUUUAGUAGGGAAGAAGCGAAAGUGACGGUACCUGCAGAAAAAGCACCGGCUAACUACGUGCCAGCAGCCGCGGUAAUACGUAGGGUGCAAGCGUUGUCCGGAAUUAUUGGGCGUAAAGAGCUCGUAGGCGGUUUGUCGCGUCUGCUGUGAAAUCCCGAGGCUCAACCUCGGGCUUGCAGUGGGUACGGGCAGACUAGAGUGCGGUAGGGGAGAUUGGAAUUCCUGGUGUAGCGGUGGAAUGCGCAGAUAUCAGGAGGAACACCGAUGGCGAAGGCAGAUCUCUGGGCCGUAACUGACGCUGAGGAGCGAAAGCAUGGGGAGCGAACAGGAUUAGAUACNNUGGUNGUCCAUNCCGUAAACGUUG
RNAcentral lists this ribosomal RNA (749 nucleotides) under bacterium U04. RNAcentral's name for it is "bacterial SSU rRNA". It matches the Rfam family "Bacterial small subunit ribosomal RNA", at positions 50 to 811 of the family's 1533-position model. The record is from RNAcentral.